This 1915-nucleotide ribosomal RNA is filed under the name Hemiselmis rufescens. RNAcentral describes it as "partial Bacterial large subunit ribosomal RNA". It matches the Rfam family "Bacterial large subunit ribosomal RNA", at positions 3 to 1963 of the family's 2925-position model. Lineage: Eukaryota; Cryptophyceae; Cryptomonadales; Hemiselmidaceae. The record is from RNAcentral.
UCAAGCGAAUAAGGGCUUAAGUUGGAUAUCUUGGCAUUCAGAAGCGAUGAAGGGCGCGUCUACCGGCGAAACGCUUCGGGGAGCUGGAAGUAAGCAUUGAUCCGGAGGUACCCGAAUGAGGAAACUCUUAAUACUACUUGCUCAAUCUAUAGGCAAGUAAGAGCGAACCUGGCGAAUUGAAACAUCUUAGUAGCCAGAGGAAAAGAAAGCAAAAGCGAUUCCCAUAGUAGCGGCGAGCGAAAAGGGACCAGCCCAAACUAUUUAAUUUAAAUAGGGUUGUGGGACAGCAUACAAAAGAUUAGAAAAGGUUAGGUGAAGCAUCUGGAAUGUUGCAUCAUAGAAGGUGAAAAUCCUGUAACCGAAAACUUUAACUACUUAGCUGUAUCCCAAGUAGCAUGGGACACGUGAAACCCCGUGUGAAUCUGCGAGGACCACCUCGUAAGGCUAAAUAUUCCUGAAUGACCGAUAGUGAAAUAGUACCGUGAGGGAAAGAUGAAAAGAACCCCGGAAGGGGAGUGAAAUAGAACAUGAAAGCUUAAGCUUACAAGCAGUGGGAGAACGACUAAACGUUUGACCUCGUACCUGUUGAAGAAUGAGCCGGCGACUUGUAGGUAGUGGCAGGUUAAGGUAGAAAAUACUGGAGCCAUAGUGAAAGCGAGCCUGAAUAGGGCGUUAGUCACUGUUUACAGACCCGAACCCGGAUGAUCUAACCAUGGCCAGUGUGAAGCUUAGGUAACACUAAGUGGAGGCGCGAACCGACUGAUGUUGAAAAAUCAGCGGAUGAGUUGUGGUUAGGGGUGAAAUGCCAAUCGAAUCCGGAGCUAGCUGGUUCUCCCCGAAAUGCGUUUAGGCGCAGCGGUUAACGCUAUAGCUUAGGGGUAAAGCACUGUUUCGGUGCGGGCUGCUAACGCGGUACCAAAUCGAUGCAAACUCUGAAUACUAAGUGUGUAGUUAACCAGUAAGACUGUGGGGGAUAAGCUCCAUUGUCAAGAGGGAAACAGCCCAGACCACCAGCUAAGGCCCCCAAAUAAUUACUAAGUGGCAAAGGAUGUGGGAACACUGAGACAAUCAGGAGGUUCGCCUAGAAGCAGCUAUCCUUUAAAGAGUGCGUAAUAGCUCACUGAUCAAGUGCACCUGCGCCGAAAAUGACUGGGACUAAGUAAUUUGCCGAAGCUGUGGGAUUUUUAAUAAUCGGUAGGGGAGCGUUCCACCUUAGAUAGAAGCAUUAGCGUAAGCGGAUGUGGACGAAGUGGAAGUGAGAAUGUCGGCUUGAGUAGCGAAAACAUUGGUGAGAAUCCAAUGCCCCGAAAACCUAAGGUUUCCUCCGGAAGGCUCGUCCGCGGAGGGUGAGUCAGGACCUAAGGUGAGGCCGAAAGGCGUAACUAAUGGACAACGGGUUAAUAUUCCUGUACCAUUUAUUACUGAUAUCGAGGGACGGAGAAGGCUAAACCAUCCGGAUGUUGGUUACCGGUUUAAGCGUUAAAGGUGUUGAGAAACGGAGAAAACGUUUUGAGCUAAGGCGUGAAUACGAGAUACUAAGGUAUCGAAGUGGUUGAAGUCAUACUUCCAAGAAAAGCUCGUAAAUAUCAUAAGUAAUAAAUGCCUGUACCUUAAACCGACACAGGUAGGUAGGUAGAGUAUACCAAGGGGCGCGAGAUAACUCUCUCUAAGGAACUCGGCAAAAUAACCUCGUAACUUCGGAAGAAGAGGUACCCUCGCAAGAGGGUUGCAAUAACCAGACCCUGGCGACUGUUUACCAAAAACACAGGUCUCCGCGAAUUCGUAAGAUUAAGUAUGGAGGCUGACGCCUGCCCAGUGCCGGAAGGUUAAAGAAGUUGGUCAAUCCUCGGAUGAAGCUGGCGACUGAAGCCCCGGUGAACGGCGGCCGUAACAAUAACGGUCCUAAGGUAGCGAA